GAUGAAGAACGCAGCGAAAUGCGAUAAGUAGUGUGAAUUGCAGAAUUCAGUGAAUCAUCGAAUCUUUGAACGCACAUUGCGCCCCUUGGUAUUCCAUAGGGCAUGCCUGUUCGAGCGUCAUUUACACCCUCAAGCUCUGCUUGGUGUUGGGCGUCUGUCCCGCUGCUUUGCGCGGACUCGCCUCAAAGGUAUUGGCAGCGAUCAUGCCAGCUUCUCGCGCAGCACAUUGCGCUUCUCGAGGCACCGGCGGGCCCGCGUCCAUCAAGCUCACCCCCCCAGUUUGACCUCGGAUCAGGUAGGGAUACCCGCUGAACUUAAGCAUAUCAAUAAGCGGAGGA
RNAcentral lists this unclassified non-coding RNA (338 nucleotides) under soil metagenome. Its description in RNAcentral is "partial contains 5.8S ribosomal RNA, internal transcribed spacer 2, and large subunit ribosomal RNA". The stretch from base 1 to 120 matches the Rfam family "5.8S ribosomal RNA", at positions 35 to 154 of the family's 154-position model. The record is from RNAcentral.